RNAcentral lists this ribosomal RNA (143 nucleotides) under uncultured eukaryote. Its description in RNAcentral is "partial 18S ribosomal RNA". It matches the Rfam family "Eukaryotic small subunit ribosomal RNA", at positions 1299 to 1458 of the family's 1831-position model. The record is from RNAcentral.
UGGUGGAGCGAUUUGUCCGGUCAAUUCCGAUAACGAACGAGACUCUAGCCUACUAAAUAGUUCGGGGACCCCCACAAAGGGGCCCCGCUUCAACUUCUUAGAGGGACAGGUGGCGUUUAGCCACACGAGAUUGAGCAAUAACA